UGGGUGUCUAGGUGACAGCUGCAAGAGGCACAAGGACUCGGCACAGUCCCAAUUCUUCUGCACUGUCCAGUCCCCUUGGAGACAGCAGGCCGGGCCAGUUCUCAUGGGACAUUCAGUGGGGGCUAGAUGUCUCAAGUUUUUGAAUUAAGGAUGAUGAGACAAAAGUCAAGAGCCACCACCCAAGGGGGCUGGGGUGCGAGGUUCAUCUCGUUUUGCUGUAUAUAAUGUAACAUCAGUGGAACAUCUUGACAGAAGGCAGGGAGGGGGGAGUGUGAGGAGACACCAGACUCCACAGGAAACCAUCAGCAGUACCCAGCACGCACAUGACAACUUAUUUGUGGAAACGCUACACACAAUUCAAGGAACCUAUAGCUGCGCACGUACACGCCUACGUCCUAGAAAGCACUUUUUACAACAUUUACUGGAAAACUCCUAUUCCAUCUCACACUCUUGUCUAAAGUCCUAAAUCAUAUCCAGGCUGAACCUCUAGUAACUUCAUAAAGCACUUAUACCAGCAACUUUCUUGCCAAUCCUUAAAUAUCUUCAGCUAAUUUAGAGAGAAACCAAACACUAAGCUGAGAACAUAGCUAUGAUGUUAAUUAUGUUCUUUUAUGAAGGUCUCAUAAACCUGAAUUUAGUAAGGUCUGAACUUACUUUUCUGGUCGUGGAAAUGGAUGUGCCUGACUCCACCUACUCUGACCAGCGACCGUUGGGAACCAUGCAUGGCGCACUCAGUCUUUCAGCUCCAUAAGGAGGGGGACCUGAGCUUGUCACUGCUGCAUCUCCAGCACCUAGAACAGUGCCUGGCACUCAAACACAGGCUGAAUGCUUGGAUGAUUAGUAAGUGGGCAUCUGUAAGCCUGAGCCAAACAGGAACAACGUCCCUGUUCGGUGGCUCUCCCCUCAAAGGUGUCACCCUGAAUAUCCCAGCACUACUACUGACCCCAGGGAGGCCUGUGUGCAGCCUGGAUACUUCAGGAUGAUGAUAAGUCUUUGGUGCUUGUUCCCAAAGCCCAGAGCCUCCCCUGCCCCUCACUGUCUUCAUGAACCCUGCUCCCUAUCAGUAGCUACUGGUCCAAGAGCCCUUCUUCCAGGAGCCAGCUUGUUGGUUUUCAGUUGGCAGAAGAAUCCCUAAGAAGUUUCAUGUUGUGUUCUUGCCCUUACUAAGCUGUUGACACCACUCAAAGGGGGAGCUCAGGCCAGGUGGGUUAAAAGGUUAACUCCAGAACAGAUGGGCCCCUGGUUCCCAUUUCCUACUUCAUCCCCAGCAUCCAGUCAUCACGGCACUCCUCUCUCACGGUUUCCCCAACUCAUCCCUGCUUUAUUUCCAUAAUGGUGUGCUUGGCUGGGCCACAGGGACGAUAAAAGGGGCCGGGGCUGGGAGGUGGGCAGGGGGAAGGUAUUGAAUCUCUGGCAUAGCUAAAUAAAGACUGCCCUGCCCCAUGGUCACUCACGGGGUGGUAAGAGCCGAACGGCAGCAUGUAACCCGUGUGAUCCAGAUGCUUUCCGGUGAGGUGACUGCGGGCCUGUCAGAUGGGCUGGAGCCCUCAUUUCUGGAUAUGGUUUGUCAAACAGGAACACCGUUGGCCUCUGGGGAAGGCUCAUCUCUCCAAUUCAAACUUCUAACCUCGGCAUCCCAGCCACUGCAAAAGUGUCCUACCACGCCCCCUGGCGGCGAAUGGCCUUUAGAUUUUUUUUUUUUCUUCUCUAAACUGAAGUUCAGAGAGAAGUUGGUAUGGAUUUGAGAAGGUGUGACAGCCCCUUAGCAAUAUAGGGAAAAGAAAAAACCAUUUUGGAAGAUGGCAAGAAAAUUUGAAAAAGGAGACGGAGGAACACCUUGUUAACACAAAGAAAUGAUAAAUUUGGGGUUUGACUUUAUGCACACCCAAACAGACCCUGGAAGCAAGAGCCUAAGCCCCUGUAGCCUGGUGGGGAAGAGGAGAGCAGCACGUUGGGGCAGGUGACAGGCACCGAUGAAGGCAGUAGAUGUUUUCCAUCCAAUCUGGCCACACAUCUGGAUUGGCAUUUGAGAACGCAAAUGAGAACUGACUAUGGCAAAAUAAGGGAUCAGCCUCCUAGAGGAAAGCCACGUGACUGAGGUAGUGUCAUGAAAUGAUAAUCAGUCUGUUAAAAAUAGGACUUUUGCACAGAAGAGAUCUGAAUUCCCCAGAUUAUACCCAUGUUG
Molecule: long non-coding RNA, 2185 nt
Filed under: Canis lupus familiaris (dog)
Lineage: Eukaryota; Metazoa; Chordata; Mammalia; Carnivora; Canidae
Description: lncRNA (ENSCAFG00000053714.1)
Source: RNAcentral